This 446-nucleotide ribosomal RNA is filed under the name uncultured bacterium. RNAcentral describes it as "bacterial SSU rRNA". It matches the Rfam family "Bacterial small subunit ribosomal RNA", at positions 331 to 794 of the family's 1533-position model. The record is from RNAcentral.
CCAGACUCCUACGGGAGGCAGCAGUGGGGAAUAUUGCACAAUGGGGGAAACCCUGAUGCAGCAACGCCGCGUGAGUGAAGAAGUCAUUCAUGAUGUAAAGCUCUAUCAGCAGGGAAGAAAAUGACGGUACCUGAGUAAGAAGCCCCGGCUAACUACGUGCCAGCAGCCGCGGUAAUACGUAGGGGGCAAGCGUUAUCCGGAUUUACUGGGUGUAAAGGGGGCGCAGACGGCAAUGCAAGCCAGGAGUGAAAGCCCGGGGCCCAACCCCGGGACUGCUCUUGGAACUGCAUGGCUGGAGUACAGGAGGGGCAGGCGGAAUCCCUAGUGUAGCGGUGAAAUGCGUAGAUAUUAGGAGGAACACCGGUGGCGAAGGCGGCCUGCUGGACUGUGACUGACGUUGAGGCCCGAAGGCGUGGGGAGCAAACAGGAUUAGAUACCCCAGUACC